UACUCCUACGGGAGGCAGCAGUGGGGAAUAUUGGACAAUGGGCGAAAGCCUGAUCCAGCAAUGCCGCGUGUGUGAAGAAGGCCUGCGGGUUGUAAAGCACUUUCAGUAGAGAAGAAAAGCCUGUGGUUAAUACCCGCGGGUCUUGACGUAACCUACAGAAGAAGCACCGGCUAACUCCGUGCCAGCAGCCGCGGUAAU
RNAcentral lists this ribosomal RNA (198 nucleotides) under uncultured bacterium. RNAcentral describes it as "partial 16S ribosomal RNA". It matches the Rfam family "Bacterial small subunit ribosomal RNA", at positions 334 to 524 of the family's 1533-position model. The record is from RNAcentral.